GACGAACGCUGGCGGCGUGCCUAACACAUGCAAGUCAAGGAGAAACGGGUAGCAAUAUCCGGAGUACACUGGCGCACGGGUGAGUAACGCGUAGGCAACCUGCCUUCAGGACGGGGAUAACUCAGCGAAAGUUGGACUAAUACCCGAUGAUAUUCCGGCAUAGCAUUAUGCCGGGAUCAAAGCCCGCAAGGGUGCCUGUAGAUGGGCCUGCGUCCCAUUAGGUAGUUGGUGAGGUAACGGCUCACCAAGCCCACGAUGGGUAGCUGGUCUGAGAGGAUGAUCAGCCACACUGGAACUGAGACACGGUCCAGACUCCUACGGGUGGCAG
RNAcentral lists this ribosomal RNA (328 nucleotides) under uncultured Chlorobiota bacterium. RNAcentral describes it as "bacterial SSU rRNA". It matches the Rfam family "Bacterial small subunit ribosomal RNA", at positions 28 to 351 of the family's 1533-position model. The record is from RNAcentral. Lineage: Bacteria; Pseudomonadati; Chlorobiota.